GCGCGGAAGAUGUAACGGGGCUAAACCAUGCACCGAAGCUGCGGCAGCGACACUCAGGUGUUGUUGGGUAGGGGAGCGUUCUGUAAGCCUGUGAAGGUGUGUCGUGAGGCAUGCUGGAGGUAUCAGAAGUGCGAAUGCUGACAUAAGUAACGAUAAAGCGGGUGAAAAGCCCGCUCGCCGGAAGACCAAGGGUUCCUGUCCAACGUUAAUCGGGGCAGGGUGAGUCGACCCCUAAGGCGAGGCCGAAAGGCGUAGUCGAUGGGAAACGGGUUAAUAUUCCCGUACUUGGUGUUACUGCGAAGGGGGGACGGAGAAGGCUAUGUUGGCCGGGCGACGGUUGUCCCGGUUUAAGCGUGUAGGUGUGUGUUCCAGGUAAAUCCGGUUCACUUUAACACUGAGGCGUGACGACGAGGCACUACGGUGCUGAAGCAACAAAUGCCCUGCUUCCAGGAAAAGCCUCUAAGCAUCAGGUAACAUCAAAUCGUACCCCAAACCGACACAGGUGGUCAGGUAGAGAAUACCAAGGCGCUUGAGAGAACUCGGGUGAAGGAACUAGGCAAAAUGGUGCCGUAACUUCGGGAGAAGGCACGCUGACACGUAGGUGAAGUGAUUUACUCAUGGAGCUGAAGUCAGUCGAAGAUACCAGCUGGCUGCAACUGUUUAUUAAAAACACAGCACUGUGCAAACACGAAAGUGGACGUAUACGGUGUGACGCCUGCCCGGUGCCGGAAGGUUAAUUGAUGGGGUCAGCGCAAGCGAAGCUCCUGAUCGAAGCCCCGGUAAACGGCGGCCGUAACUAUAACGGUCCUAAGGUAGCGAAAUUCCUUGUCGGGUAAGUUCCGACCUGCACGAAUGGCGUAAUGAUGGCCAGGCUGUCUCCACCCGAGACUCAGUGAAAUUGAACUCGCUGUGAAGAUGCAGUGUACCCGCGGCAAGACGGAAAGACCCCGUGAACCUUUACUAUAGCUUGACACUGAACAUUGAGCCUUGAUGUGUAG
RNAcentral lists this ribosomal RNA (998 nucleotides) under Salmonella enterica. RNAcentral describes it as "partial 23S ribosomal RNA". It matches the Rfam family "Bacterial large subunit ribosomal RNA", at positions 1161 to 2141 of the family's 2925-position model. Lineage: Bacteria; Pseudomonadati; Pseudomonadota; Gammaproteobacteria; Enterobacterales; Enterobacteriaceae. The record is from RNAcentral.